GACGAACGCUGGCGGCGUGCCUAAUACAUGCAAGUUGAGCGCUGAAGGUUGGUACUUGUACCAACUGGAUGAGCAGCGAACGGGUGAGUAACGCGUGGGGAAUCUGCCUUUGAGCGGGGGACAACAUUUGGAAACGAAUGCUAAUACCGCAUAAAAACUUUAAACACAAGUUUUAAGUUUGAAAGAUGCAAUUGCAUCACUCAAAGAUGAUCCCGCGUUGUAUUAGCUAGUUGGUGAGGUAAAGGCCCACCAAGGCGAUGAUACAUAGCCGACCUGAGAGGGUGAUCGGCCACAUUGGGACUGAGACACGGCCCAAACUCCUACGGGAGGCAGCAGUAGGGAAUCUUCGGCAAUGGACGAAAGUCUGACCGAGCAACGCCGCGUGAGUGAAGGAGGUUUUCGGAUCGUAAAACUCUGUUGGUAGAGAAGAACGUUGGUGAGAGUGGAAAGCUCAUCAAGUGACGGUAACUACCCAGAAAGGGACGGCUAACUACGUG
Molecule: ribosomal RNA, 497 nt
Filed under: uncultured bacterium
Lineage: Bacteria
Description: partial 16S ribosomal RNA
Rfam family: Bacterial small subunit ribosomal RNA
Source: RNAcentral